CGGGGUGCACCAGGCGCGAAAACUUUACAAUGCGGGAAACCGUGAUAAGGGGACACCGAGUGCCAGCAUCAUAUGCUGGCUGUCCAGGUGUGUAAAAUACACCUGUCAGCAAGGGCCGGGCAAGACCGGUGCCAGCCGCCGCGGUAACACCGGCGGCCCGAGUGGUGAUCGUGAUUAUUGGGUCUAAAGGGUCCGUAGCCGGUUUGGUCAGUCCUCCGGGAAAUCUGACGGCUCAACCGUUAGGCUUUCGGGGGAUACUGCCAGGCUUGGAACCGGGAGAGGUAAGAGGUACUACAGGGGUAGGAGUGAAAUCUUGUAAUCCCUGUGAGACCACCUGUGGCGAAGGCGUCUUACCAGAACGGGUUCGACGGUGAGGGACGAAAGCUGGGGGCACGAACCGGAUUAGAUACCCGGGUAGUCCCAGCCGUAAACGAUGCUCGCUAGGUGUCAGGCAUGGCGCGACCGUGUCUGGUGCCGCAGGGAAGCCGCGAAGCGAGCCACCUGGGAAGUACGGCCGCAAGGCUGAAACUUAAAGGAAUUGGCGGGGGAGCACAAGGGCGAUUCGCG
RNAcentral lists this ribosomal RNA (567 nucleotides) under uncultured archaeon. Its description in RNAcentral is "bacterial SSU rRNA". It matches the Rfam family "Archaeal small subunit ribosomal RNA", at positions 326 to 897 of the family's 1478-position model. The record is from RNAcentral.